RNAcentral lists this ribosomal RNA (521 nucleotides) under uncultured bacterium. RNAcentral describes it as "bacterial SSU rRNA". It matches the Rfam family "Bacterial small subunit ribosomal RNA", at positions 987 to 1509 of the family's 1533-position model. The record is from RNAcentral.
UCCAGAGAAUUUAGCAGAGAUGCUUUAGUGCCUUCGGGAACUCUGAGACAGGUGCUGCAUGGCUGUCGUCAGCUCGUGUUGUGAAAUGUUGGUUAAGUCCGCAACGAGCGCAACCCUUAUCCUUUGUUGCCAGCACGUAAUGGCGGGAACUCAAAGGAGACUGCCGGUGAUAAACCGGAGGAAGGUGGGGAUGACGUCAAGUCAUCAUGGCCCUUACGAGUAGGGCUACACACGUGCUACAAUGGCGUAUACAAAGAGAAGCGACCUCGCGAGAGCAAGCGGACCUCAUAAAGUGCGUCGUAGUCCGGAUUGGAGUCUGCAACUCGACUCCAUGAAGUCGGAAUCGCUAGUAAUCGUAAAUCAGAAUGUUACGGUGAAUACGUUCCCGGGCCUUGUACACACCGCCCGUCACACCAUGGGAGUGGGUUGCAAAAGAAGUAGAUAGCUUAACCUUCGGGAGGGCGUUUACCACUUUGUGAUUCAUGACUGGGGUGAAGUCGUAACAAGGUAAGCGUAGUGCU